CAUGUUUUCACUUUGCUUUGUCCAGCAUUGCAUCAUACCCAAGGAAUCACGCCCAAGAGCAUGAACAAAAGAUGACUCUGCUGCAGAGAGCUUUAAUGGCAAUGAGACUCUGGGGCACAGCUCAGUUGCUUCAGGAGGAGCUCAUGGCAGGGAGACAGGGGCCUCCAGCAGUGAUGGCAAAACUGGGCUGGAGCAAGAACAGCCACUGAACCUGAGCGACAGCCCCCUCUCUGGGCAGCUGGCUUCAGAAUACAGGAUAGAUGACCAAGGCAGUAAUGGGAAAAGCAAGUAUAAGAACCUUCUAAUCUCUGACCUCAAGAUGGAAAGAGAAGCAAGAGAAAAUGGAAGCAAGGUAAGAUUAUAUUACAAUAAAUUGAUGGUUUUUACGCUGGUCAUUAAUAUCAAGACAAAGCAC
RNAcentral lists this long non-coding RNA (415 nucleotides) under Cricetulus griseus (Chinese hamster). RNAcentral describes it as "lncRNA (ENSCGRG00000026171.1)". The record is from RNAcentral. Lineage: Eukaryota; Metazoa; Chordata; Mammalia; Rodentia; Cricetidae.